UGGGGAAUUUUGCGCAAUGGGCGAAAGCCUGACGCAGCAACGCCGCGUGUGUGAUGAAGGUCUUCGGAUUGUAAAGCACUUUCGACCGGGACGAAAACCCUCUGGCUAACACUCAGGGGCUUGACGGUACCGGGAGAAGAAGCACCGGCUAACUCUGUGCCAGCAGCCGCGGUAAUACAGAGGGUGCAAGCGUUGUUCGGAAUUAUUGGGCGUAAAGCGCGUGUAGGCGGCUUUGCAAGUCGGGUGUGAAAGCCCUCAGCUCAACUGAGGAAGUGCGCCCGAAACUGCAGAGCUUGAGUGCCGGAGAGGGUGGCGGAAUUCCCCAAGUAGAGGUGAAAUUCGUAGAUAUGGGGAGGAACACCGGUGGCGAAGGCGGCCACCUGGACGGUAACUGACGGCUGAGACGCGAAAGCGUGGGUAGCAAACAGGAUUAGAUACCCUGGUAGUCCACGCCGUAAACGAUGAGAACUAGGUGUCGUGGGUGUUGACCCCCGCGGUGCCGAAGCUAACG
This 511-nucleotide ribosomal RNA is filed under the name uncultured Pseudomonadota bacterium. RNAcentral describes it as "bacterial SSU rRNA". It matches the Rfam family "Bacterial small subunit ribosomal RNA", at positions 355 to 857 of the family's 1533-position model. Lineage: Bacteria; Pseudomonadati; Pseudomonadota. The record is from RNAcentral.